GGGGAUGUAGCUCAGUGGUAGAGCGCAUGCUUUGCAUGUAUGAGGCCCCGGGUUCAAAACCCGGCAUCUCCA
Molecule: transfer RNA, 72 nt
Filed under: Saccoglossus kowalevskii
Lineage: Eukaryota; Metazoa; Hemichordata; Enteropneusta; Harrimaniidae
Description: tRNA-Ala
Rfam family: tRNA
About the family: Transfer RNA (tRNA) molecules are approximately 80 nucleotides in length. Their secondary structure includes four short double-helical elements and three loops (D, anti-codon, and T loops). Further hydrogen bonds mediate the characteristic L-shaped molecular structure. tRNAs have two regions of fundamental functional importance: the anti-codon, which is responsible for specific mRNA codon recognition, and the 3' end, to which the tRNAs corresponding amino acid is attached (by aminoacyl-tRNA synthetases). tRNAs cope with the degeneracy of the genetic code in two manners: having more than one tRNA (with a specific anti-codon) for a particular amino acid; and 'wobble' base-pairing, i.e. permitting non-standard base-pairing at the 3rd anti-codon position.
Source: RNAcentral